RNAcentral lists this ribosomal RNA (497 nucleotides) under uncultured bacterium. RNAcentral's name for it is "partial 16S ribosomal RNA". It matches the Rfam family "Bacterial small subunit ribosomal RNA", at positions 28 to 507 of the family's 1533-position model. The record is from RNAcentral.
GAUGAACGCUGGCGGCGUGCCUAAUACAUGCAAGUCGAGCGAACAGACGAGGAGCUUGCUCCUCUGACGUUAGCGGCGGACGGGUGAGUAACACGUGGAUAACCUACCUAUAAGACUGGGAUAACUUCGGGAAACCGGAGCUAAUACCGGAUAAUAUAUUGAACCGCAUGGUUCAAUAGUGAAAGACGGUUUUGCUGUCACUUAUAGAUGGAUCCGCGCGGCAUUAGCUAGUAGGUGAGGUAACGGCUUACCAAGGCAACGAUGCGUAGCCGACCUGAGAGGGUGAUCGGCCACACUGGAACUGAGACACGGUCCAGACUCCUACGGGAGGCAGCAGUAGGGAAUCUUGCGCAAUGGGCGAAAGCCUGACGGAGCAACGCCGCGUGAGUGAUGAAGGUCUUCGGAUCGUAAAGCUCUGUUAUUAGGGAAGAACAAAUGUGUAAGUAACUAUGCACGUAUUGACGGUACCUGAUCAGAAAGCCACGGCUAACUACGUG